This 494-nucleotide ribosomal RNA is filed under the name uncultured bacterium. RNAcentral describes it as "partial 16S ribosomal RNA". It matches the Rfam family "Bacterial small subunit ribosomal RNA", at positions 28 to 507 of the family's 1533-position model. The record is from RNAcentral.
GACGAACGCUGGCGGCGUGCUUAACACAUGCAAGUCGAACGGAAAGGCCUGCUUUCCCUUGUGGAUUGCGGGUACUCGAGUGGCGAACGGGUGAGUAACACGUGAGUGAUCUGCCCCCAACUUGGGUAUAAGCCUGGGAAACUGGGUCUAAUUCCCGAUAGGACUGCAGGGUGGUGCCUGUGGUGGAAAACGAUUUUCUAGUGGUUGGGGAUGAGCUCGCGGCCUAUCAGCUUGUUGGUGGGGUAAUGGCCUACCAAGGCGGCGACGGGUAGCCGGCCUGAGAGGGUGGACGGGCACAUUGGGACUGAGAUACGGCCCAGACUCCGACGGGAGGCAGCAGUGGGGAAGAGUGCACAAGGGGCGGAAGCCUGAUGCAGCGACGCCGCGUGGGGGAUGACGGCCUUCGGGUUGUAAACUCCUUUCGACCGCGAGGAAGCCACCUGGUUGGAAGGGUGGUGACGGUAGUGGUAGAAGAAGCACCGGCUAACUACGUG